Molecule: non-coding RNA, 45 nt
Organism: Schistosoma mattheei
Lineage: Eukaryota; Metazoa; Platyhelminthes; Trematoda; Strigeidida; Schistosomatidae
Source: Rfam
AUCCAGCUGACGACUCCCAAAUACUACGAAACGCGCGUCCUGGAU